RNAcentral lists this ribosomal RNA (492 nucleotides) under uncultured bacterium. Its description in RNAcentral is "partial 16S ribosomal RNA". It matches the Rfam family "Bacterial small subunit ribosomal RNA", at positions 29 to 507 of the family's 1533-position model. The record is from RNAcentral.
AGUGAACGCUGGCGGUAGGCCUAACACAUGCAAGUCGAACGGCAGCACAGUAAGAGCUUGCUCUUACGGGUGGCGAGUGGCGGACGGGUGAGGAAUACAUCGGAAUCUACUUUUUCGUGGGGGAUAACGUAGGGAAACUUACGCUAAUACCGCAUACGACCUACGGGUGAAAGCAGGGGAUCUUCGGACCUUGCGCGAUUGAAUGAGCCGAUGUCGGAUUAGCUAGUUGGCGGGGUAAAGGCCCACCAAGGCGACGAUCCGUAGCUGGUCUGAGAGGAUGAUCAGCCACACUGGAACUGAGACACGGUCCGGACUCCUACGGGAGGCAGCAGUGGGGAAUAUUGGACAAUGGGCGCAAGCCUGAUCCAGCCAUACCGCGUGGGUGAAAAAGGCCUUCGGGUUGUAAAGCCCUUUUGUUGGGAAAGAAAAGCAGCAGGUUAAUACCCCGCUGUUCUGACGGUACCCAAAGAAUAAGCACCGGCUAACUUCGUG